UGAAUACGAGAUGCUACGGCGUCGAAGCAGUCUAUGUCAUACUUCCAAGAAAAGCUUGCACUGUCAUAAACAAAUAAUGCCUGUACCAUAACCGACACAGGUGGGUAGGUAGAGUAUACUAAGGGGCGCGAGAUAACUCUCUCUAAGGAACUCGGCAAAAUGACUCCGUAACUUCGGGAGAAGGAGUGCCUUAUUUUAUAAGGUUGCAAUAACAAGAUCCAAGCAACUGUUUACCAAAAACACAGGUCUCCGCUAAGUCGUAAGACGAUGUAUGGGGGCUGACGCCUGCCCAGUGCCAGAAGGUUAAAGAAGUUGGUUAGCAUUCGCGAAGCUGAUAACUGAAGCCCUGGUGAACGGCGGCCGUAACUAUAACGGUCCUAAGGUAGCGAAAUUCCUUGUCGGGUAAGUUCCGACCCGCACGAAAGGCGUAAUGAUUUGGAUACUGUCUCAGAGAGGGGCUCGGUGAAAUAGACUUGUCUGUGAAGAUGCGGACUACCUGCACCAGGACAGAAAGACCCUAUGAAGCUUUACUGUAACUUGAAAUUGAAAUUGGACUUUACUUGCGCAGUAUAGGUGGGAGGCGUUGAGAAUAUUCUUGCGGGAAUGUUGGAGCCAUCAGUGAGAUACCACUCUUGUAAUGUUAGAUUUCUAACUUUGUAUCAUUAUCUGGUCAAAGGACAGUUUCAGGCGGGCAGUUUGACUGGGGCGGUCGCCUCCCAAACGGUAACGGAGGCGCACAAAGGUUUCCUCUGAACGGGUAGAAAUCGUAUCUAGAGUGUAAAGGCAUAAGGAAGCUUGACUGUGAGACCUACAAGUCGAGCAGGGACGAAAGUCGGUCUUAGUGAUCUGACGGUGCUGAGUGGAAAGGCCGUCACUCAACGGAUAAAAGUUACUCUAGGAUAACAGGCUGAUCUCCCCCAAGAGUUCACAUCGACGGGGAGGUUUGGCACCUCGAUGUCGGCUCAUCGCAUCCUGGGGCGGUAGUACGUCCCAAGGGUUGGGCUGUUCGCCCAUGAAAGCGGUACGCGAGCUGGGUUCAGAACGUCGUGAGACAGUUCGGUCCAUAUCCGGUGUAGGCGUUAGAAUAUUGAGAGGAGCCUUCUUUAGUACGAGAGGACCGAGAAGGACAUACCUCUGGUGUACCAGUUAUCGUGCCAACGGUAAACGCUGGGUAGCUAUGUAUGGAGUGGAUAACCGCUGAAAGCAUCUAAGUGGGAAGCCCACCUCAAGAUAAGUAUUC
This 1240-nucleotide ribosomal RNA is filed under the name metagenome. RNAcentral describes it as "bacterial LSU rRNA". It matches the Rfam family "Bacterial large subunit ribosomal RNA", at positions 1564 to 2813 of the family's 2925-position model. The record is from RNAcentral.